Molecule: ribosomal RNA, 1110 nt
Filed under: Triticum aestivum (bread wheat)
Lineage: Eukaryota; Viridiplantae; Streptophyta; Magnoliopsida; Poales; Poaceae
Description: partial small subunit ribosomal RNA
Source: RNAcentral
AUGUUGAGGAACCUACUUGUCUUGGAUUUAUCAGACAACCUUUUAGUGGGUGAACUUCCCCGGUGUUCUCGAGAGCCUAACCUGGUUUUCCUCCUCUUAAGUCACAACCAUCUUUCUGGCAAGUUACCAUCAUCACUGAAGAACUACAAGAGUCUAGCAUUCAUGGAUCUUUCAGCAAAUAAUUUCCAUGGAAAAUUUCCAUCGUGGAUUGGAGACUUAGUAUAUUUGCGCUUUUUGCAACUAAGUCAAAAUUUCUUUUGUGGGGAUAUUCCGGUGACUAUCACAAAUCUUAAACGCCUUCGUCAGCUCAGUUUAGCAGGAAACAAUAUAUCUGGUGUUAUACCAUGGUCUUUGUCAAAUUUAACAGCAAUGACCCAAAAACAUACAAAGAGACCUGGGGUCGACAUGUUUGUAUGGUACACCGGCUAUGUGGGUAAAUUUGGAGAAGUUUGGCCCAUUGUGAUGAAGCGCCAAGAACUUAAGUAUGGUAAAGGAAUUUUUAAUGUGGUUGGUAUGGAUCUAUCACUCAACUACCUAACAGGUGAAAUUCCUGAUGGGAUAACCUCUCUUAAUGGAUUGUUGAAUCUAAACUUCUCAUGGAACCAAUUAAGUGAAAAAAUUCCUGGGAAGAUUGGAGCCAUGAAAUCACUUGAAUCAUUGGACCUGUCAAGGAACAGCCUUUCUGGUGAAAUCCCAACAAGCUUGGCAGAAUUGACUUAUUUAAGCUCCUUGGACUUGUCAUAUAACAAUCUUACAGGAAGAAUUCCAGUGGGGCGCCAACUUGACACCCUCUACUUGGAGAACCAGUCCAUAUACAUGGGCAACAUUGGUCUGUGUGGCCCUCCUCUUGAAAGGAAUUGCUCGGGAAACAAUGCACCGGAGCAUGACAAUCAACAGAAAAUUGAGAAGGUUUCUGAACCUGUGUUGUUCUUUUACUUUGGACUUGGAUCUGGGUUGGUGGCUGGCCUUUGGGUUGUGUUUUGCACCCUACUGUUCAAGAAAGUUUGGAGGGUUGCAUAUUUCCGCCUCUUUGACAAGUCGUAUGACAAGGCAUAUGUGUUUGUGGUUGUUACUUGGGGCAGGAUAAACCGAGAGCCGAUAGAAACUUAA